AAUAUUGGACAAUGGGCGAAAGCCUGAUCCAGCUAUGCCGCGUGUGUGAAGAAGGUCUUCGGAUUGUAAAGCACUUUAUGUUGGGAGGAAGGGGUUGAAGCUAAUACCUUCAAUCUUUGACGUUACCAACAGAAUAAGCACCGGCUAACCCUGUGCCAGCAGCCGCGGUAAGACGGAGGGCGCGAGCGUUGUUCGGAAUUACUGGGCGUAAAGCGAGCGCAGGCGGAUGGGGAAGUCGGGAGUGAAAUCCUGGGGCUCAACCCUGGGCCUGCUAUCGAUACUGCUCGUCUAGGGACCGGUAGAGGCCGGUGGAAUUCCCGGUGUAGCGGUGGAAUGCGUAGAUAUCGGGAAGAACACCUGUGGCGAAGGCGGCCGGCUGGGCCGGAUCCGACGCUGAGGCGCGAAAGCGUGGGGAGCAAAC
Molecule: ribosomal RNA, 421 nt
Filed under: uncultured bacterium
Lineage: Bacteria
Description: partial 16S ribosomal RNA
Rfam family: Bacterial small subunit ribosomal RNA
Source: RNAcentral